CGCAAUGGGCGAAAGCCUGAUGGAGCGACGCCGCGUGAUUGAUGAAGUCUUUAGGGAUGUAAAAAUCUUUUCUGAAGGAGGAAAUUUUGACGUUACUUCAGGAAUAAGGGGUUGCUAAACUCGUGCCAGCAGCAGCGGUAAUACGAGUGCCCCGAGCGUUAUCCGGAAUUAUUGGGCGUAAAGGGUCCGCAGGCGGUUAUGUUAGUCUUUUGUUAAAACUCCCGGCUUAACUGGGAAAAGGCAAGAGAUACGGCAUGACUAGAGGAUGUGAGAGGUAUAUGGAACUCAUAGUGUAGGGGUGAAAUCCGUUGAUAUUAUGGGGAACACCAAAAGCGAAGGCAGUAUACUGGCACAUUCCUGACGCUCAAGGACGAAAGCGU
This 380-nucleotide ribosomal RNA is filed under the name uncultured organism. RNAcentral describes it as "bacterial SSU rRNA". It matches the Rfam family "Bacterial small subunit ribosomal RNA", at positions 367 to 762 of the family's 1533-position model. The record is from RNAcentral.